Molecule: ribosomal RNA, 1119 nt
Filed under: Staphylococcus pseudintermedius
Lineage: Bacteria; Bacillati; Bacillota; Bacilli; Caryophanales; Staphylococcaceae
Description: partial 23S ribosomal RNA
Rfam family: Bacterial large subunit ribosomal RNA
Source: RNAcentral
CGAAAACGAAUUCUCUCUUGAGUGGAUCCUGAGUACGACGGAGCACGUGAAAUUCCGUCGGAAUCUGGGAGGACCAUCUCCUAAGGCUAAAUACUCUCUAGUGACCGAUAGUGAACCAGUACCGUGAGGGAAAGGUGAAAAGUACCCCGGAAGGGGAGUGAAAGAGAACUUGAAACCGUGUGCUUACAAGUAGUCAGAGCCCGUUAAUGGGUGAUGGCGUGCCUUUUGUAGAAUGAACCGGCGAGUUACGAUCUGAUGCAAGGUUAAGCAGAAAAUGUGGAGCCGUAGCGAAAGCGAGUCUGAAUAGGGCGAAUGAGUAUUUGGUCGUAGACCCGAAACCAGGUGAUCUACCCUUGGUCAGGUUGAAGUUCAGGUAACACUGAAUGGAGGACCGAACCGACUUACGUUGAAAAGUGAGCGGAUGAACUGAGGGUAGCGGAGAAAUUCCAAUCGAACUUGGAGAUAGCUGGUUCUCUCCGAAAUAGCUUUAGGGCUAGCCUCAAGUGAUGAUUAUUGGAGGUAGAGCACUGUUUGGACGAGGGGCCCCUCUCGGGUUACCGAAUUCAGACAAACUCCGAAUGCCAAAUAAUUUAACUUGGGAGUCAGAAUGUGGGUGAUAAGGUCCAUAUUCGAAAGGGAAACAGCCCAGACCACCAGCUAAGGUCCCAAAAUAUAUGUUAAGUGGAAAAGGAUGUGGCGUUGCCCAGACAACUAGGAUGUUGGCUUAGAAGCAGCCAUCAUUUAAAGAGUGCGUAAUAGCUCACUAGUCGAGUGACACUGCGCCGAAAAUGUACCGGGGCUAAACAUAUUACCGAAGCUGUGGAUUGUCCUUUGGACAAUGGUAGGAGAGCGUUCUAAGGGCGUUGAAGCAUGAUCGCAAGGACAUGUGGAGCGCUUAGAAGUGAGAAUGCCGGUGUGAGUAGCGAAAGACGGGUGAGAAUCCCGUCCACCGAUUGACUAAGGUUUCCAGAGGAAGGCUCGUCCGCUCUGGGUUAGUCGGGUCCUAAGCUGAGGCCGACAGGCGUAGGCGAUGGAUAACAGGUUGAUAUUCCUGUACCACCAUUAUUCGUUUUAAGCGAUGGGGGGACGCAGUAGGAUAGGCGAAGCGUGCUGUUGGAG